GUUUGUGUAAAAAAACAAUGAAUUUGACUCUGGUUAAUCUUUGCUCUCAAAGGACAACACUCACUUAACAUAUAAAGAAUAAAAACAGAAAGGACAGUAAGAAAUAUAAAAAAUAAUAU
Long non-coding RNA from Etheostoma spectabile (orangethroat darter), 119 nucleotides. RefSeq lists it as uncharacterized. The transcript has 3 exons. The record is from RefSeq and is a predicted model, not a curated record. NCBI's taxonomy places the organism in Eukaryota, Metazoa, Chordata, Actinopteri, Perciformes, Percidae.